This 175-nucleotide ribosomal RNA is filed under the name uncultured Debaryomyces. RNAcentral describes it as "partial 26S ribosomal RNA". Lineage: Eukaryota; Fungi; Ascomycota; Saccharomycetes; Saccharomycetales; Saccharomycetaceae. The record is from RNAcentral.
AGUGAGCGGCAAGCUCAAUUUGAAUCUGGCACCUUCAGUGUUCGAGUUGUGAUUUGAGGAUGGUAGCCUUGGGGUGGCUCUUGUCUAUGUUCCUUGGAAAGGACCAUAUAAAAGGGUAAAACCCCUCCGAUGGAUCCCAUUGCCUUUUGGUGCUACUAAAAAUAACUAGUUUGGA